This is a long non-coding RNA of Pezoporus occidentalis (night parrot), 489 nucleotides long. RefSeq lists it as uncharacterized. The record is from RefSeq and is a predicted model, not a curated record. The transcript is spliced from 3 exons. NCBI's taxonomy places the organism in Eukaryota, Metazoa, Chordata, Aves, Psittaciformes, Psittacidae.
GGGAAUAGAGCAAGCACCUGUGUGGGGCUUAGCUGCUGACUGAAGUCAAACCACAACAGCUGACCAGGUUGUUUGACAUCCAUGGAGCUAAACAAAAACCCCUUUACCUAUUCUGUCAAUUCAGAUGUACAACAAGAUACUACAACAGUUAUUUUCUAGAGAGUGGAUCUCCACUGCAGAUUUGGAACCCACAGUUUACUGUUCAUGUCCUCAGUACAAGAAAUCUCACUUUUAGGAAUCACAUUAUAGAGAAGCAACAGGUUUAGGUGUUCCAGCCCUACAGCAGCUUUGGAGCCUGGUUCUUCCCUCACAGAGACAUCGCUCUGGCCUUGCAGAUUUUCAGGAAAGGUUCCUUCAUAGAAAAGUCUCCAUUUUAAGUUUACAAUAGUCACAUUUUGAACAGUCUCAGAUUUGUUGGAGUUCCAUCCAAGGCAACUCUCAGGUAUAUAUCAGAGCAGAAGCCCUGAUUCUCUGUAAAUAAACAUCAUA